AACGCACAUUGCGCCCUUUGGUAUUCCUUAGGGCAUGCCUGUUCGAGCGUCAUUUCAAACUUCAAGCCCCCCCUUUAGCUUGGUGUUGGGCGUCUGUCCUCCCCCCGGGACUCGCCUCAAAUGCAUUGGCAGCCGGCACGUUGGCUUCGAGCGCAGCAGAAACGCGCGCGGCGUCCGACGGUGCCUGGCUCUCCAGGAAGCCUCCACCUCAAGUUUGACCUCGGAUCAGGUAGGGAUACCCGCUGAACUUAA
This 252-nucleotide unclassified non-coding RNA is filed under the name Massarina sp. Its description in RNAcentral is "partial contains 5.8S ribosomal RNA, internal transcribed spacer 2, and large subunit ribosomal RNA". Lineage: Eukaryota; Fungi; Ascomycota; Dothideomycetes; Pleosporales; Massarinaceae. RNAcentral also lists the same sequence under 3 other names. The record is from RNAcentral.